GAUGAACGCUGGCGGCGUGCCUAACACAUGCAAGUCGAACGAACGGACGAUAAGCUUGUUUCUUUGCUGUUAGCGGCGGACGGGCGAGUAACACGUGGAUCACCUACUUCUAUGACUUGGAUAAUUACGGGAAACCGGAUCUAAUACCGGAUGAUAUUUUGAACCGCAUGGUUCAAAAGAGAUUGACGGCCUUGCUGUCUCUUAUAGCUGGAUCCGCGCUGCAUUAGCUAGUUGGUAAGGUAACGGCCUACCAAGGCGACGAUGCAUAGCCGACCUGAGAGGAUGAUCGGCCACACUGGAACUGAGACACGGUCCAGACUCCUAAGGGAGGCAGCAGUAGGGAAUAUUGGGCAAAGGGCGAAAGCCUGACGGAGCAACGCCGCGUGGGUGAAGAAGGUCUUCGGAUCGGAAAGCUCUGUUAUUGGGGAAGAACAGAUGUAGAAGUAAAUGUGGAUAUCUUGACGGUACCUAAUCAAAAAGCAACGGCUAACUACGUG
RNAcentral lists this ribosomal RNA (497 nucleotides) under uncultured bacterium. Its description in RNAcentral is "partial 16S ribosomal RNA". It matches the Rfam family "Bacterial small subunit ribosomal RNA", at positions 28 to 507 of the family's 1533-position model. The record is from RNAcentral.